Anolis carolinensis (green anole) is the source of this 2175-nucleotide long non-coding RNA. RefSeq lists it as uncharacterized. The transcript is spliced from 2 exons. The record is from RefSeq and is a predicted model, not a curated record. NCBI's taxonomy places the organism in Eukaryota, Metazoa, Chordata, Lepidosauria, Squamata, Anolidae.
AUUAUAAAUAAUCUUUCAUAUGAUUAAAACAUAUCAAAAGUCUAGCAUCAACUCAACUUUAUAAACAUUAAACCAAUUGGUUUAUUGUUUUCGUCAUUGUUAUACAAGUUUCGUCAUACUUAGGGACAGAGAUCUACAGCUGUGGGGCCACCAUCAAGAAGGCCCUGUUUCUUGUCCCCGCCAAUCAUGCCUGUGAUAGGGGUGGGACUGAGAACAGGGCCUCCCCAGAAAAUCUUAACAAUAGUGCCAGAUCAUAAAAGGAGAUACGUUCGGACAUGCAAGCUGGACCGGAACUGUUUAGGGAUUUAUAGGCUAAGGCCAGCACUUUGAAUUGUGCUUGGAGGCAAACUGGCAGUCAGUGGAGUUGAUGUAACUGGGGCGCAUGCCGCUCUGGUUAACAGUCUUUGCUGCUGCCUGGUGGACUACUUGAACCUUCCAAACAGUCUUUGAAGGCAACCACACGUAGAGCGCAUUGCAGUAGUCUAUGUAAGAUGUAACCUGAACGUGGACCACUGUGGCCAAGUCUCACUUCCCAAGAAUCAAAGAAUCAGAAGAGACCUCAUGGGCCAACCCCUGUCAAGAAGCAGGAAAUCGCAUUCAAAUCAUCCUCGACAGAUGGCCAUUCAGCUCUGCUUAAAAGCCUCCAAACAAGGAGCCUCCACCAUACUCCAGGGCAGAGAGGUCCACUGCUGAACAGCUCUCACAGUUAGGAAGUUCUUCCUAAUGUUCAGGUGGAAUCUCCGUUCCUGUAGUUUGAAGCUGUUGUUCCGCGUCCUAGUCUCCACGGCAGCGGAAAACAAGCUUGCUCCCUCCUCCCCAUGACUUCCCCUCACAUAUUUAUAUAUGGCCCUCAUCGUGUCUCCCCCCAGCCUUCUCUUCUGCAGGCUAAACAUGUUCAGCUCUUUAAGCCACUCCUCAUAGGGCUUGUUCUUCAGACCCCUGAUCAUUUUAAUUACCCUCCUCUGGACACACUCCAGCUUGUCAACAUCUCUCUUCAACUGUCGUGCCCAGAAUUGGACACAGUAUUCCAGGUGUGGUCUGACCAAGGCAGAAUAGAGGGGUAGCAUGACUUCCCUGGAUCACAUGUUGGCUCAUAUUUGACUUGUCCACAAGGAUUCCAUCUUGACUAACAGCAAAAUAUAUAUAUAAAUAAAAUGUAGCCUUGUGACUCUAAAAUGUACAAUUUUUAACAGCUUUGUCUGAUGAAGAAAUGAGUGGAAUUAAAAAAAAAGUCCUUCAACAAAAACAAAAACAGCAAUAUUGCAUUAUUCAGCUGAUUCUUUAUCCAAAGUCUAGUGUUAGAUUUUUUUGUCCCUCAAAGUUAGAUGUUUACAAAAUUUAGCUCAAUGGUGGUAAGGGCAGUUUUGAUGGGGACUUUCUUUUCUUACAGAUGCUCCUUGUUUUUUACAGGAUUUUACUGAGAUCCAUAUAGGAAUAUAGAAGUUAAAGGGAGAACGGGGCUAAGCAGAUGAAAUUACAGGGGAGAGUAAAAAGACACAAUAAAUCAGUUUAAACCAAGGCCAUAUAAAGCUUAUUAUCGGCACCAAAUUGCCCAUCCUUUUAAAAGCUGUAUCAAAAAGUUUGUGCUGUUGCUGUUUAUUUGAAAUAAGUAAACAGUUUAUAAAAUAUGUGUACAAAUUAUUUUCAAAAAAGGAGACCUGAAACCUGGGGUAUGAGACAGCAAGACUUUUAGCUCUACAUUUAAUUUACUGAUAAGUGCCAUCCAAUUAUGAAAUAGUCUGAAAUUAUGCAUAAACAUGGUCCUAAUUACCAUGUUUAUGCGCAAAAUAAUCCCAUGUAAAAGGCAUUUUGUUGUAUCCCUCCCAGGCACCUUAACUGCAUGAUUCCUGAAACCAAACAGUGGCUUUUUGAAGAUAACAUGAAAACAAAUGAAAUAUUGUUCUCUAAUAAGGAUGUAAUAAAUAUUAAUGGAAACAAGUGUUGUUGCUUUCUGUAAUAAUAAAAGUGCAUAUAAUUACAGAACUGAAACCAGUUUACAGAAUUCCAAAUCAAAAUGUGUGUCUAUGUCGCAAUCUCUCUUCCUUCUAAAGCCUAUUAAAAUGUGAGCCAUAAUGCUGUCAUUCACAUCUCGCUGCCCUUAUGUCCUGUUAUUAUCCAGUGGGGAUGAGGAGAUAGAAGACUUUUUCUUGCAGUGACAAUAAAAUGUUAACAGUG